GACGAACGCUGGCGGCGUGCUUAACACAUGCAAGUCGAACGGAAAGGCCCUGCUUUUGUGGGGUGCUCGAGUGGCGAACGGGUGAGUAACACGUGAGUAACCUGCCCUUGACUUUGGGAUAACUUCAGGAAACUGGGGCUAAUACCGGAUAGGAGCUCCUGCUGCAUGGUGGGGGUUGGAAAGUUUCGGCGGUUGGGGAUGGACUCGCGGCUUAUCAGCUUGUUGGUGGGGUAGUGGCUUACCAAGGCUUUGAGGGGUAGCCGGCCUGGGAGGGUGACCGGCCACAUUGGGACUGAGAUACGGCCCAGACUGCUACGGGAGGCAGCAGUGGGGAAUAUUGCACAAUGGGCGGAAGCCUGAUGCAGAAACGCCGCGUGCGGGAUGACGGCCUUCGGGUUGUAAACCGCUUUCGCCUGUGACGAAGCGUGAGUGACGGUAAUGGGUAAAGAAGCACCGGCUAACUACGUG
Molecule: ribosomal RNA, 468 nt
Filed under: uncultured bacterium
Lineage: Bacteria
Description: partial 16S ribosomal RNA
Rfam family: Bacterial small subunit ribosomal RNA
Source: RNAcentral